RNAcentral lists this ribosomal RNA (1627 nucleotides) under metagenome. RNAcentral's name for it is "bacterial LSU rRNA". It matches the Rfam family "Bacterial large subunit ribosomal RNA", at positions 933 to 2434 of the family's 2925-position model. The record is from RNAcentral.
AGGUUACUGACGUCAGCCAAACUCCGAAUGCCGGUAAGUGAGAGCGUGGCAGUGAGACUGCGGGCGAUAAGGUUCGUAGUCGAGAGGGAAACAGCCCAGAUCACCGACUAAGGCCCCUAAGCGUGUGCUAAGUGGGAAAGGAUGUGGAGUCGCAGAGACAACCAGGAGGUUGGCUUAAAGCAGCCACCCUUGAAAGAGUGCGUAAUAGCUCACUGGUCAAGUGAUUCCGCGCCGACAAUGUAGCGGGGCUCAAGUACACCGCCGAAGUCGUGGCAUUGAUGCAGAUUCGUCUGUGUUGAUGGGUAGGGGAGCGUCGUGCAGCCGGCGAAGCAGCAGAGUGAUCUAGUUGUGGAGGCUGUGCGAGUGAGAAUGCAGGCAUGAGUAGCGAAUCGAGGGUGAGAAACCCUCGCGCCGAAUGACCAAGGGUUCCUGGGGCAGGCUAAUCCGCCCAGGGUAAGUCGGGACCUAAGGCGAGGCCGACAGGCGUAGUCGAUGGACAACGGGUUGAUAUUCCCGUACCCGCUUCAAUGCGCCCAUAUCGAACCUCGUGAUGCUAAGAGUCCUUAAGUCCUCUGAUGUCCUUCGGGACUAGGGGUGAGGCUGAACGCUCGAUCCGAUCGGGUAGUAGGUAAGCGAUGGGGUGACGCAGGAAGGUAGUCCAGCCCAGGCGAUGGUUGUCCUGGGGUAAGCAUGUAGGGCGUGUCGUAGGUAAAUCCGCGGCAUUUAAGCCUGAGAUGUGAUGCCGAGCCGAUUGUGGUGAAGUGGAUGAUCCUAUGCUGCCGAGAAAAGCCUCUAGUGAGUGUUGUGGCGGCCCGUACCCUAAACCGACUCAGGUGGUCAGGUAGAGAAUACCAAGGCGAUCGGGUGAACUGUGGUUAAGGAACUCGGCAAAUUGCCCCCGUAACUUCGGGAGAAGGGGGACCUCUGUUGGUGAUGGGCUUUACGCCUGGAGCUGGUGGGGGUCGCAGUGGCCAGGGGGAAGCGACUGUUUACUAAAAACACAGGUCCGUGCGAAGUCGUAAGACGAUGUAUACGGACUGACGCCUGCCCGGUGCCGGAACGUUAAGGGGACCGCUUAGCUGACGUGAGUUGGCGAAGGUGAGAACUUAAGCGCCGGUAAACGGCGGUGGUAACUAUAACCAUCCUAAGGUAGCGAAAUUCCUUGUCGGGUAAGUUCCGACCUGCACGAAUGGCGUAACGACUUCCCCGCUGUCUCAACCGCAGACCCGGCGAAAUUGCACUACGAGUAAAGAUGCUCGUUUCGCGCAGCAGGACGGAAAGACCCCGGGACCUUCACUACAGCUUGACAUUGGCGUUUGGAACGUCUUGUGUAGGAUAGGUGGGAGACUGGGAAGCUGUCACGCUAGUGAUGGUGGAGUCAUUGGUGAAAUACCACUCUGGUCGUUUUGAACGUCUAACUCUGGUCCGUGAUCCGGAUCGGGGACAGUGUCUGGUGGGUAGUUUAACUGGGGCGGUUGCCUCCUAAAGAGUAACGGAGGCGCCCAAAGGUUCCCUCAGCCUGGUUGGCAAUCAGGUGUUGAGUGUAAGUGCACAAGGGAGCUUGACUGUGAGACUGACAGGUCGAGCAGGAGCGAAAGCUGGGACUAGUGAUCCGGCAUCGGCGUAC